Molecule: ribosomal RNA, 305 nt
Filed under: uncultured bacterium
Lineage: Bacteria
Description: bacterial SSU rRNA
Rfam family: Bacterial small subunit ribosomal RNA
Source: RNAcentral
CUUCUCUACGGGGGGCAGCAGUAGGGAAUCUUCGGCGAUGGGCGAAAGCCUGACCGAGCAACGCCGCGUGAAUGAAGAAGGCCUUCGGGUUGUAAAAUUCUGUUAUAAGGGAAGAAAGGUGAUAGGAGGAAAUGACUAUCAAUUGACGGUACCUUAUGAGAAAGCCACGGCUAACUACGUGCCAGCAGCCGCGGUAAUACGUAGGUGGCAAGCGUUAUCCGGAUUUAUUGGGCGUAAAGCGAGUGCAGGCGGUUCAAUAAGUCUGAUGUGAAAACCUUCGGCUCCACCGGAGAAUUGCAUCAGAA